AGAAGGAUUUGUAUAGUCAUACCUCCACGGUAUGAUUUGUAGUGUCCCAGUUGACCAAGUGACAGCUAUGAAUUCUGAAAAAAUAUGUCAAUCACUCCCAUGAGAGUGAAGCAAAGCCAAUGGCAUGCAGAAACCAGAGGGGCAUCUAACUUAAAGAAGGGCAGUGUGGUGCCCCACC
Perognathus longimembris pacificus (Pacific pocket mouse) is the source of this 178-nucleotide long non-coding RNA. RefSeq lists it as uncharacterized. The transcript is spliced from 3 exons. Lineage: Eukaryota; Metazoa; Chordata; Mammalia; Rodentia; Heteromyidae. The record is from RefSeq and is a predicted model, not a curated record.